Molecule: ribosomal RNA, 469 nt
Filed under: uncultured Gram-positive bacterium
Lineage: Bacteria
Description: bacterial SSU rRNA
Rfam family: Bacterial small subunit ribosomal RNA
Source: RNAcentral
AGAGUUUGAUCCUGGCUCAGGACGAACGCUGGCGGCGUGCUUAACACAUGCAAGUCGAACGGAUCUUGAGAGCUUGCUCUUAAGAUCAGUGGCGAACGGGUGAGUAACACGUGAGUAACCUGCCCCUGACUCUGGGAUAACUGCUGGAAACAGCAGCUAAUACCGGAUACGACCUCGAGCCGCAUCGUUUCGAGGUGGAAAGUUCUUCGGUUGGGGAUGGACUCGCGGCCUAUCAGCUAGUUGGUGAGGUAACGGCUCACCAAGGCGACGACGGGUAGCCGGCCUGAGAGGGCGACCGGCCACACUGGGACUGAGACACGGCCCAGACUCCUACGGGAGGCAGCAGUGGGGAAUAUUGCACAAUGGGCGAAAGCCUGAUGCAGCAACGCCGCGUGUGGGAUGAAGGCCUUCGGGUUGUAAACCACUUUCAGUACCGAAGAAGCGCAAGUGACGGUAGGUGCAGAAGAAG